ACUCAGUGCCUGCGCCGCUUAUUUGAAGAGAAAGAUUCAAUGCAGGGGCUUAAUGGCCUCAAAUAUUUCUCAACAAUUGUUGCUCUUGUGAUGAAGACACUUUAUUCUCAGAAGGGAGGAACCUUUUGGAGAGUAAUGGCUGCAUCAACUUCAGGAGUUACUACAGUUGCAAACACGUAUUGGGACCUUGUCAUAGAUUGGGGUCUAUUGCAAAGGAAUUCUAAAAACCCCUGGUUGAGAGACAAGCUACUCGUGCCACACAAGAUUGUCUACUUUGUUGCCAUUGUAAGCCUCUUUGAAUAGGAUUAACAAAACUCUUGCAUUGAAAUUACGUUAUUGAUGAUUCGAACUCCAAAUGGCAGGUUCUUGACAUUAUUCUGAGACUAGUAUGGAUGCAAUUGGUUCUAGAUAUUAAAGAACUCUCAUUUCUGCACGAGAAAGCAUUCCUUGCAGUUGUUGCCUGUUUGGAAAUCCUUCGUCGAGGCAUAUGGAACUUUUUCAGGUAUGAAGCAUUAUACAUCAACAAUGUAAAUAACUUUUACACAUUCAGAUUCAGACUCCGUAUAUAUAAGUUAAAAUCAUAUCUACAAAAUUUGAUGAGUUAGCUUCCGCUAACUUGUUCACAUAAUAAGAUCAUAAUUAAGCCCUCGCUCUAUCUAACAAUAAUAGUUAUGCUGUUUUCAUCAUUGUUCAGGUUGGAAAAUGAGCACUUGAAUAACGUUGGAAAAUACCGUGCCUUCAAGUCGGUACCUCUGCCUUUUAACUACGAUGAGGACAAGAGUCAAUAACUUUGUUUAACUAAUUGAUACCAGCAAAUCAAAGGACUCAAAAUGAUUUUCUGGUUUACAGUAUAGUUUGUCAAUGCUGUUUAUAGUAGUAUAGUUUUGUUUGUGAAAUUACACGGGAAAAAAAGAAGAAGCUGAAUCCAGCCUCUUGUCUUAAAAACACUUGCUCAUGAAAAGUCUCAUCAUAUUUUCCAUUGUUUGGCUUGAAUUUUUCUUCGGUAGCAUUUUUUAUCACUUGCUUCAGAAAAAUACUUAAGAUUGGUCAAACCAGAACCCAAUGAUCUGUUCAGCAAAAAUAAAUAAAUCAUGUUUUAUAAAUUACUCAAAAAUCUGAUAAAGGAUAUGAAACAACACGACCAUACACUACGGAGCACGCAAAGUAUUUUAAGGAAUUUAAUCCUCCGUUCUUAUUUAUGUCAUAUUUACUAAAAAACAAAUGUUUCUUAUUAUUUCUCAUUUCACAAAAUCAAUACAUAAAUAAUAUUAUUAUUCCUAUUUUAUCUUUAAGAAGAGUUAUUAAUUUUGAAAGUAUGAAUUUGACCAACAAAAAACUAAAUGAUUAAUUUAUUUUCAUUGGUCAAUUUAAUUAAUUUAUGUUUUUUAAUGAAAAUAUGACUCAAAAGAGAAUACUAAAUAAGUUUACUUACCAUGAUAAACUUAAACGUGAAAUCUAAAAUGGUGAAAUUCCUUUUGUUUAAAAACGAACUAUUUAAAAAUAUAAAAAAAAUUCCAAAUAAAUUAACUGAACCAUCAUUAUGUCCUCCACUUGUUCCCCUUCUCUUUUCCUUUUUUUUUUUUUCUUCUUUUCAUUUUAAUUUAUUUUUGUUUCGAAUUUCUUUAUGUCAGUUUAUUUCUACACGGUAAAAGUAUAAUAUUAAACAUAAAUUAAUAUAAUUUAUACUUUUAAAAUAAAAAUAAAAAUAUUAUAGUGUGAGAUAAAUAAUAUCUAAAUAUAUGUAAAAAAAAUUCAUACGUCAAUGCCCCUUUUCGCGAAAAUUGUUACUCCAUCUGUCCCACUUUAUAUGUUCACUUUCAUUUUUAUUCUAUAUUAAAUAACAAUUUAUCUUUAAAAUAUCAACUUUACCCUUAAUGUAAUGAUUUAUAACCAUACAACCUCUAUCAUUAUUUUAGAUAUGUGAAAUUAGGGUUUGGGUAUAACUCACACCUCAAAAGCUAGUACAAAGGGACCAGGAUUGCCUUGAGACUUUAGUCCACCCAUCUCAUUGACCCCUUAUGUGAGACUUUUGUUAUUCUUAACACCCCAACUCACGCCCACUAGUUAGCAUUUGUUGCGUGGACAAUUUUUUAUUUUUGAGGGCUCCAACAUUGGGUGAGAUGAAUCCUGCUCUGAUAUCAUGUAAAAUUAGGUCUUGAGUCUAACUCACACUCCAAAAGCUAACUCAAAGGAAAGAGGAUUGUUCAAGCCUUAUAAGGAGUUCACACUAUCUCAUUAACCACAAAUGUAGAACUUUUGUUAUUCUUUAACAAGAUCACAAGUUUCAAAAGUUUUUUUUAUUUCUUAAGUUUUGUGCCAAGUCAAACUAAGAGGGUGUUUGGAUCGACUUAUAAGUUAGUCAAACCUAUUUUUAAGUUAGUUUUUUAUUUUUGAAAGUGUUUGAUAAAUACUCCCUCCGUCCAACAAUAGUUGUUUAGUAUACUAUUUUGGGAUGUCCAACAAUACUUGUCCACUUUAUGAAAUCAAUGGAUAAUUUUACACUUAGUUCUUAAUUUACCCUUAUCAUUAAUUAUAGUCAUUUCCUUAUUACAUUUUUCAAGACAUUGUGUUUAUUAUAUUCAAAGGGUGAUAUAGUAAAAUUACCUUUUUAUUUAUAGUUUCUUAAGGGGUGUGUCAAGUUAAUAGUGGACAAUUAUUGUUGGAUAGAGGGAGUAUAAAAAUAACUUAAAAUAAGUUAGGAAGUGUUCGACAAGGUAAUUAUAAAUAACUUAAAAUAAGUUAAAAACCAAAAGUAGGUCUCCCCGUACUUUUUAUUUUUUUUGACUUAAAAGUAAGUUAAAUUUGACAUUGACUUAAAAGCUACUGUUAUUAAGUCAAUCCAAAUGGGAUAUAACUCAUAUAAAAUGAGGCGGAGCUAUAAGUGGAGGUUCAUGGAUUCGGACGAACCAACUAGCUUUUCUGUAGAUCAUGUAUUUAUAAUAGAAAAUUAAAUAAAUAUAUAUUUAUAUUAAUAUGUGAACCCCUAAUAAAAUUUAUUUAUAGCUUAGUGGUAGGUAAAGGUUGUGAAAAUGCUUUUCACAUCUAGUGUUGUGGAUUUGCAAUAUUUGUUUCUUUUAUUUUAAAAUUUAGAACCCCAAAUUCUUAAUCCUAGCGCUAGCGGAGGAAGUAGCAUCUAUUAUGCAUGGAAUUAGCAUAACCACGUGAAAAUAAUUGGCUAAGAAUACAGCUAAUAGUAAUUAAUAUACAUGGGUCCACCUUUCUAUAUCAAAAGAGGGAGUAUUUAACAAAACAAUGAAUGUUGAGGUCCCAUAUAUUUCCAACAUUUUACAAGUGGAAGGUAGUCCUUCAAUUUUUAUGUGAGCUAACACCACAAUUACAAGACCCAAGGAAAAGAAUGUGUAUACGAUUGAUUAAUCAGUAAAGACGGCUAGCAAACUUCCCUUUGGAACUCUCAUAAAACAAGGAGAUAAAGAUUAAUCUCGCACUAAAUUCGGGGCGAAUUCAGGAUUUAAAGACAACGGAUGCAUCAUCCAUGGCUAAUGCACGUUGGUUAAAGCAUGUACCCAAUAUCGAUUCAUAUGAUAAUUUUAUUAAACAUAAAAAUAUAAAAUGGUUAUAUUACCGUAUAAAUAUAAAUUAAAUGACUCAUUUAAAUAAAGUUUGCUUAGUGGAGUAAUGAUUUAAUUUUAAAUUUCACUUUACAUCAUGAACUAGUCAUCCCCUUAUUUUAUUUGAUGUUUUUAAGCUUCACGCGAGCCAAAUCGACUUUAGUAUCUUUGAAUGCCUAAUAAAAUAUGUCUAUCUCAAAGUAUAUAUAUAUAUAUCACACGUGGGUCCGCCUCCGACUAAAUCAUACAAGUAAUCGCAUUACAUUGCAAAGAGAAAUCCGAGGAAAAGCCUUUCAAAUUAAUCUAUUACAUUUAAUAUGUUUUAUUAAGCUAAUUAGGAGUACAAAAUAUGAAAAUUCAGGUGAUAUUUACCUUACUUUUUAGCUAACAUGGCCGACAAAGUUGGAUGAUUUUUCUUUGACAAAGUGAUUUUUUUAUAUGAUAAACUUGGAGUAAUCUCUCUAUUCUUAAUUACUUGUCCACUUUUUCUUUUUUAGUUGUUUCUAGUUACUUGUUCAUUUUGACAAAUCAAAAAAGGAAAUUUGUUUUUACUUAUUAUACCCUUAAUUAAUUAUUUUGAAAAAGGUAGAACUUCUUGAAAAUCUUAAGUUUUUUAAUUCAUCUAAUUCAUAAUUAAUAAUGAUAAAAUAGUAAACUCACUCAAUUUAUUUAUUUUUAAUAGAUAUGUCAAUUCAAAAGUAAACAAGUAAUUAGAGACGGUUGGAGUAGAAUGUACUAACUGGACAGUGAAGCGCAUAAGAGAUGGAACAAACACCACCAUCAUAAAACAAUCACUAAUAUUCAUGGGCCAUGGGUGCCUUUAAUAUGUGCAUGUGUAACAUACAGCUCCACUCAUUUUAAAGGAAAUGAAUUAUUAAAGAGAUUUAGCUAAAAUAUUGAUUGAGACGGUGAAAACUUUUAAACUCCUCAACUAUCAAGAGAAAGAGAAGAGAUUAAUUUUAAUUCAUAUUUAGGUAAUACAUUCUUUGAUACUUCCUAUUUUUGGCAACUCAUUACUCAUCCAUGUAACAACUUGAUUGUUGACCAUUCCUCCAAUCAUGGCUACAAUAUAAAGCAGAGGAAGUUCAUUUUUUUCUUAAACGAUAAAGAUGAAAUUUGGGAAAGAAUAUGCAUCCCAAAUGGUCCAUGAAUGGCAAGAAGCCUACAUGGAUUAUAAUUAUCUCAAAAGUCUUUUGAUGGAAAUCUUGAAUUUCAACAAGAAAAAUGCACCAUUACCUGAAGUUGCAGCCACUCCAAGAGGGUCCUUAAAGAGAAGGCUAUCUAUGUACAGAGCAUUUAAUGGAUUACAAAUUAGAUACAACAGUUUCAAAGGGAAAAAUAAUCAUGAAGAUGAAGUGAUAGUAGUGAAUUCAGUGCAGCAAGAGGGAUCUGAAUGUCACUAUGAAACCACCUUCCUCGUGUCUUGUGAAGAAGGCGGAAAAUGUGAGCUGAUUUUCUUUAGGACAUUGGAUGAUGAAUUCAAUAAGGUGUUAACUUUUUACAAGAAAAAAGUAGGGGAAGUUAAGGUUGAGGCUGAUGCGUUGAGUAAACAAAUGGAUGCACUUAUUGCUCUAAGAAUCAAGGUUGAUAAGAUUUCAGUCGGAGCACAAAGUGUCCAAGUCAUCGAUCCUUUUAGCAAUGAUGAUAGUGUUUUGUCUCCAGCAUCAGUGGAUCCUAUGCAUUUUAGUAGUCCAGGUAAGUCCAAUCUUAUGGCUAUUAUGUUACUGUUCCGUCUUUUGGUGGGAAAAUAAGUUACCAUUCAUGCCCUCAGUAAUUUGCUUUUGACAGUAAUGUAGAGUGAUUUGAAACCAUCAUAAGAGAUGUUUUAGCUGUUGAAACUUGCUUGAUUGCUCUUUAAUUUGUUCGAAUUCUUGUUUAACCCCAAGAUAGGUAGACCACAUAUGGAGGUAAUUCAAGAAGUUGAGAUGACCAACGAAGAAAUACUGGAAGAGGAGGCAAUUCAAGAAGUUGAGAUGACAAGUGAAGAAAUUCUGGAAGAGGAAGCAACAAUAGGGAAAAGAGAUCCUACAAAGAUGAAUCCCAGCAAUUUUAAGCCAGCUCCACUAGAGGUUCUUGACUAUGUGAAAAUCAAUAUUGAACCCGAAACACCUAUCUCAACUUUAAGAUGUAUCAUGACUUCAAAACCAAACCUAUCAUUCAGCAAAGAAGAGCUCAGAAAAGUCGAAGAACAAAUGAAAAAGGCUUUUGUUGAGUUCUAUCAAAAGCUGAGACUUCUAAAAAGAUACAGGUGAUGUUGCAUUUUUACCCUCAAAAGAGGAGUUACUGCUGUUUUUGUGCUCAAAUCAGCUCAUACUUUGCCACUAAUUUUUUACCAGUUCCUUAAAUGUGUUGGCAUUUUCCAAGAUCAUGAAGAAGUAUGAUAAGGUACUAUACUCAUGAAGUUAUCACUAUUUGACAUAGAAAGUUACGAAGUUUUGCCAAGUAACCUUGCAAUUUAUUGAUACAGAUCAGUUCAAGGAAAGCUUCUAAAUCAUACUUAGAGGUGAUUGAAAAAUCUUAUCUUCGUAGCUCGGAUGAGGUACAUUUUCCUUCAAUUUCAAAAAUUGUUUUCCUCUCAGCACUAUUCCACUUGUGACUAUAGUUUGAACUGAUCAUCAAUCUUUUUUUGUUUUUUUUGUUUUAGGUUUCUAAGCUCAUGGAAGGAGUCGAAGACACUUUCAUAAAGCAUUUUGUCGAUGGAAAUCGAAAGAAAGGAAUGAAAUAUUUAAGACCACAAGCACAACGAGAAACGCAUAGAGUAACAUUUCUCCUUGGUAAGAUGCAUCCUUAUUAGCAUCGGUCAUAUGUUCAUUUCAGUAACUGAUAUACUUAUAAUACUUUUCACCUACAGGUUUGUUCUCUGGCUGCUCAUUAGCAUUAGUAGCAGCAAUUGCUGUAUCGAUACGUGCAGGAAACCUUCUAGAGAACGAGAGUCGAGGACAGUUUAUGGAAAACAUAUUUCCACUGUACAGGUGAACUAAUCAUCUUUCGUUUGUAGUCAUAUUGAUUCUUUCCGUUUGUCUAUAUACAAGAAAAACCUAUGUUUUCAGCACUAUAUAUAUAUAUAUAUGAGUAAUGAAUUAAGGUGUGUCUUUGCAGCCUAUUCGGAUUCGUUGUCCUGCAUAUGGUCAUGUACGGGGCAAAUAUAUACUACUGGAGGCGUUUUCGAGUCAAUUAUCCCUUCAUAUUUGGCUUCAAGCAGGGAACAGAGUUAGGUUACAGACAAGUUCUCCUCCUUGCUUCUGGUCUUUCGUUACUUGCAUUGGCUGCUGUACUCUAUCAUCUGGAUAUGGAUAUUGAUCCGGAAACACGAAGUUUCCAGACAGUGACUGAGCUGACCCCACUUGCCCUGGUGAUUGUAAGUCUAGAAAAACACUACUUCUUCUUUUACUUACAUUCAACAAUUAUUCUAUAGACUAUACAACAUGUUUCAAAUUUUGAACCUCCUAAUGAUCUUAAAAUCUUUUUUCAGGUUCUGCUUCUAAUAACUUUUUUUCCUCUGAACAUCAUAUAUCGUUCAAGUCGUUUCUUCUUUAUAAGAUGUGUCUGGCGCUGUCUGUUGGCUCCCCUUUAUAAGGUACCAGCAGUUUGUUUAAGAGAUAUACAGAUUCACACACAUUAAUAUAACAGAACUUACAUAGAUAGUAAAAUGUCUCACAUCAUUUUGCAGGUUACUCUACCAGAUUUUUUCUUGGCAGAUCAACUUACUAGCCAGGUUUGACACAUGAACUUCUAUGUUAUACAAAGAGAGGAUCCAAGAAGUUGACAAUUCAGUCAGUGUAAUGUGCAAAUUUUGAAUGAUAGAAGUAUAAUGAGGUCUUGCAUUUCAGGUUCAGGCAAUUAGGAGUUUACAAUUCUAUGUCUGCUACUAUGGGUGGGAAAACUUCAGAGAAAGAUCAAAUACAUGUCAAGAGAGCAAAAUUUACCCAAUCUUAUACAUAUUCCUCGCAAUUAUUCCCUUUUGGUCUCGGUUUAUUCAGGUUUGAGAAUUUUUACACAAGAAAAAUGAUCAUUCUAACAAUAGUUAUCUUGACAAAUAUUUGAUAUGAUGCUUUGAAUGACUUCAUGAUAUACAGUGUCUUCGUCGCUUAUUUGAAGAGAAAGAUUCGAUGCAGGGGUUUAAUAGCCUCAAAUAUUUAUCAACAAUUGUUGCUCUUGUAAUGAGGACACUAUAUGAUCAGAAGAGAGGAACCUUUUGGAAAGUAAUGGCAGCAUCAACUUCAGGAAUUACUACAGUUGCAAACACUUAUUGGGACCUUGUCGUAGAUUGGGGUUUAUUGCAAAGGAAUUCCAAAAACCCCUGGUUGAGAGACAAGCUACUUGUGCCAUACAAGAUUGUCUACUUUGUUGCCAUUGUAAGUAGGUUUCAAAAAUCAACAACUAUAAAAAUAACUUGCAUGCAGCGGAUGUUUUUGAUUAUUUGAGUGUAAAUAUUGCAGGUUCUUAACAUUAUUCUGAGACUAGUAUGGAUGCAGUUGGUUCUAGAUUUUGAACAACUGCCUUUUUUGCAUAGGAGAGGAUUUAUUGCAAUUGUUGCCUGUUUGGAAAUCCUUCGCCGAGGCAUGUGGAACUUUUUCAGGUCAGAUGGAUGCAUUCAUUAUCUAUUGAGUUUAAUUUCUUUCUAAACUAAAACUGGAAUUAGCGUUUGUUUGUUUUAUUUGACAACAAAUUAAACUACUCCUUUUCUCUAACAUUCAGGUUGGAAAAUGAACACUUAAAUAACGUUGGGAAAUAUCGUGCCUCCAAGUCUGUACCCCUGCCUUUCAACUACGACGAAGACAAGAGUCUGUAAAAUGAAAAUCAAAAGAAUCAGCCACAGUAGUUGUUUGAUUCAUUCAUAUAAUAUAAGUUAGUUUUGUUAAUGAAAUUAUUGAGUGAAUUAAGUUAAGGUAUAGGACAAAAAGAAAAUGACAACAGUGAAGAUCUACUGCUACAGUCUAAUCCUUAAUGUAAUUAUGUGCUCAUGAAAAUAAAUUCAGCUUGACUAUACUACAAUUGCAGCUUUUCGCAAAAAUUCUUUGAUUCAACGCUAUCCGCUCACCUUUCUUCAUCGAUAUCAAAACAGUUAUUAUUAUCAUGUACAAUAAGUCUCCAAUCAAACGUAAGUGAAUACGUCGUCGUAUAUGACAAAUGAAUACAUAGUAGUAUUUAUUUAAUCAGUAAAGACGGCCAACAUAAUAUAUACUCUUUUUCUAUAUGAAAAUUGAAUAAUAGAAUUGAGAACAGACCAGAAAAUCUACACUUAACAUCCAAUAAGAAAUUGCUAAUCCUUGUUAACAGGAAAUAAAUUUUCACCACUUUCUUUAAAUAAACCGAUAAUAAAGAAAAAUAAUUGUUUUCUAGAUAAUUUUAAAAAAAGUUAAGAAUUAGGCGGGUGAAGUCAUAAUAGGUAAUUUUUCCUAAUUAUAUUCUAGAAUCUCAACACGCCCUUAUGUUCCCCUUACGUGUGAGCCGGAUUUUUUUUUUAAAAUUCUUUUAAUAUUAUAAUAGGUCAUUUUUUCCUAAUUAUAUUCUCAAAUCUCAACACGCCCCCUUGCGUGAAAAUUCUUUUGAUAUUAUAAUAGGUAAUUUUUCUUCUUGAAUCUCAACACGCCCCCUUACGUGUGAGUCUGGUUCUUUUUUCAUGGGUCAAGCACGUGAAAAUUCGUUUGAUAUUGAUGGCGGAGAGAAUCGAUCUCAGAACCUAUGUCUGUUUUAAUACCAUGUUGAAGUAUGUGACCAUCUCAUCUAAAAGCUUAAGUUAUUAGAAAAAACACAUCUUUAUUAUUUAAUUAUAUAUUCUAAAUGAAGUAAUGGCCCGUCCAUUUAUCAAUUUUGACUCUCUUAUGUUUAUUUCAACUCGCUCAUUUAACUCAGAGAAUAUACAUACAAUAUUUUAAUUAAUAAAAUACUAGAAUUUUGUAAAUGAUUUCUUCUAAAUUUAAAAUUAAAGAUGAAAAGAUGGUGGGAAAAUCUUUGUGUAUACCAAAGAGGAUCAUCAGUACACCUAAUUUCUUUGUUUCUUUUUUGUUGGGUACGACAGUCGAUAUGCAUUUUGAAAUGUUGAACGAACGGCCCAAGAAAAGUACAAGAUUUUAGAACGACGACUUCAAUCAUUAAUAAUUGAAAGUUCAAUGAGUUUUAUUAACAUAAACACAUUGUUUGAAUAAAUGAUAUUGGAUUUGACCAAAUCGAUAUCUGAACCUUUAGCUCCAACGUUGACCUUAUAUUCACUUUUCUUUGUUAGAACACAUGAAUAGUAGAAUGGAAUUAGUCCUCUAAUACAAUACAGUUUAGAAUAUGUUAGUAUGCACGACCUAGUAAUUUACUAAUUUUAACUUUUCGCCUAAGUGUGAAACAGAUUGCCUAACGUGUUCCAACAAAACAGUAAGGACAGUAAGUAAAAUCACAAUAUUUUACGUGGAAAACACCCGGCUCAAAAGGUGUAAAAAAACCACGACAUGUACCCCUACAGGAUUUAACUCCAACUUUACUAAAUCACUGAGCCUCCACAAAAGAUAGAUUACAAACUUUGCAACCUACCUUAACUUCAAGUUAUGGAUUUAGAUUACAACUCUUGUAAUCCUAGAAACUAACUCUAAUUCCUAACCUUCAACACAAACCUCCCAAGGUAUGUGUUCCCAACUCUUCGAGUUAUCACAACCUGAAGACAACACUUCUAAUUCAGUUUAUAACUCACUGAACUAAGAUUACAUCAAAACUCAAUCACAAAGAAAAACUCCUAACACAUAAACUCUGUAGAAGGAUUAGGUUCUUCGAUGUGUUCCUUCUAUUCACCGGUAGCACUUGUGAAGUCAACUUCUCAAUUGCUCUGUAAGUGCACAAGUAUUCUGGAUGACUUCACCUCUAUUUAAGCACAAUUCUUCAUAGAAUUAUUGUUUACUUCAAACUCCUCAUUGACUUGAACUCUCUUGACUUAGAGUUCUACUUCAAGUAAAACUCAUUAUUCAAUUCAAACUUCUUGCUUCUUUAGACUCCUUCUUCAAAUUACAUUCAUUGAUUCUUUUGUAUUGUAGUCAAACUCCAACACUUCAAUUCAGCAGUAACUUGAAGAGUACUACUUUAAGUAAGACUCAUUCUUCAAUUGUUAGUGAAAACUUACAAGAUAACAAAAAUACAAUAUUACAAUUGAAAAUAAAUAUGAAGAAAAUAAAUCUCUUCAGGCUGAGGCGCGGAUAUCUCGCUUUCUUUAAGGAGAUUCAGGCCCACUGCAGCAAAUGUUUUCACCAGUCCAACAAUAGUCCUUCUUGACUUGUCCCCUCCAGGAUACAACAGCCUAAUCACAAAAUAUAACUCAACAACUCUGGACAAGAGUUGAGUCUAAAACUCCACAAAAAGAACACCUCCCUUCAACUAAUAAGAACUCUCUUUUUUGACUAACUCUUUCACUCUAUAUUUUUCUAGUGUGUUGUAUCUCACAAACCAAAUGAAGACCACUAUUUAUACUACAAGAAGUCUUCCUAGAAUUGAAUAGGAAGAUAGUGGUGUAGUAAAUAGUGAAGAUAAAUGGCCUAGAGGUUACAUAUGUUACAUAGGUUACAAAGAAUAAUGAAAGAGUAAAGAAUGAUAAUGAAGAAAUAAUAUGGAGAAGUAAUGGUCUUGGAAGACCACGUCCAAGGCAGUAAGCAAACGGCUAGUCAGUAGCCUAGGCAAUUAAGCCUAAAAGGCAUUUACACCAAAUGUGAGUAAUUAGGCACAAAUGCCUACCAACGGUAGCAAUGAAACUGCCCACUAACUGUUGAAACAAUCAGCAUCUUUCUAACUCCAAAUUAUAGCAAAUUAAUAUAUUAAACUAUUAAUAUUAAAAUGCUAAUAAACCAACAAUCCCCCACUCAUUUUAAUAUUAGAUAAGAGAGUCUAUCAGCUGAAGGAAGAUUACUAUGCAUAAUGAAGGUGUGCUCUGCAUUGAACCUCCACUUAGUGAAACAGUAACUUUUACUCCAGAGUGGUAGUGGUCUCAGACUUGAACUAUGAUUGCUUAAGGGAAAUAAAACAUCACUGCUCACAGGAUGCGACCUACUUCCACACAUCACAUAGGUGAAAUCUAUCGAGAGUGCUCCUGUAAGCUUAACACUCCACCCAUACGGGCUACAGAUAUUCAUUAAGAAUUUUAUCAACUCAACCUUCACAAACUACAGGAAACAAUGCACUCACAUCAUAGGGAGGGAAUAAAAAGAUAGUGCAUUUUUCACAACAAGUCAUCAUAUGAUUAGUUUUUCCUUUUGAACCUGGUUAUAGGAUCUCUAGUCUCCAGGUUGGGUUUCCUCAUAUAUGACUCAAGGAUCUGUAGGCUUCAAUCCCAUCCCCCUCGAUAUGCUCCAGACCUUUUCUCUUGUUAACGCCUUAGUUAGAGGAUCUACAAGAUUAUCACAAGAUUUGACAUAAUCAACAUUAAUGGUACCAUUUGUCAAAUAUGAUCUUACAUUAUUGUGUUUCCUCCUUAUAGGUCUAGAUUUACCGUUGUAGUAACGGUUUUGAACUCUACCAAUCGCAGCGGUGCUAUCACAAUGAAUUAAAAUAAGAGGAAUUGGUUUUUCAAAAUAAGGUAUUUGAAAUAACAAUUUCUUAACCAAUUCGCUUCCUCACUAGCUGAAGCUAAAACAAUUAGUUCAGCCUCCAUGGUAGAGUAAGCAAUAAUAGUUUGCUUUUUUUUAUCUCCAACAAACAACACCACCACCUAAAAUAAAGACAUAACCAGUGGUAGAACAUGAAUCACCUGAUAAAGUGUUCCAAUCUGCAUCACAAAAGCCUUCAAGUACAGCAGGAUAUUUUUUAUAGAACAAACCACAAUUUUUCGUUCCAAUUAAUAUCUCAUAACUCUUGUUACAUCAUGCCAAUGUUCAUUACCUAGCUUGCUUGUAAACCUGUCAAGUACUCCUACUACAUAUGCAAUAUCAGGCCUAGUACAAUCAGUCAUGUAUCUCAAACUUCCGAUUAUGCUAAUAUAUUCCUUUUGAUUUAUUAUAUCAUUUUCACUUUCAACAGGAAAUAAGUGAACACUUGAAUCAAAAGGAGUAGCAACAUGUUGGCAAUCAAGAAAGUUAUAUUUUUUCAAAAUUUUCUCAACAUAAUGUGACUGGUCAAGGAAAAUUCCAUCACAUAUUCUUGUUAUUUUAUUCCAAGAAUAAAAUUUAGCCUCACCAAGAUCUUUCAUAUCAAAAUGGCUUCUAAGAAUUAUUUUUAGCUUCAUCAAUAACAUUUAUGUUAGAGCCAAAGAUCAAUAAAUCAUCAACAUAUAGGCAAAUAAUCACAUGUGAAUUAUUCCAAGACUUAUGAUAUAUACACUUAUCACACUCAUUUGUUUUAAAACCAUUUUCAAUCAUGUAAGAAUCAAACUUUUCAUGCCAUUGCUUAGGUGCCUGUUUCAAGCCAUAUAGGGAUUUAGUAAGUUUACAUACUUUGCUUUCUUGGCUUGCUUCAACAAAAGACUCGGGUUGAUCCGUAUAAAUUUCCUCAUUUAGGUCUCCAUUUAAAAAAGCAGUUUUUACAUCCAUUUGAUGAAUAUGCAAAUCAAAAAUUGCAGCCAUAGCAAUUAAAAGUCUUAUGGAUGUAAUUCUUGUCACCGGUGAAAAAGUAUCAAAAAAUUUUAGGCCUUCUAGUUAUUUAAAACCUUUUGCAACAAGCCUAGCCUUAUAUUUAUCAAUAGAUCCAUCCGGUUUCAACUUUUUUCUUAAGACCCAUUUGCAACCAAUAGUUUUACAACCCGGUGAUAAAUCAACUAGUUUCCAAGUUUUAUUAGAAAUUAGUGAUUCCAUUUCAUCAUUUACAGUCUCUUUCCAAAAUAUAGAAUCAUGUGAAGAUAAUGCUUCUUUCAAAGUAAGAGGGUCAUCUCCAACAUUAAACACAUAAAAAUCAGGACCAAAAUCUUUUUCUACUCUAGCUCUUUUACUUCUUCUUAACUCAAAAUCAUCAAUUUCUUUAUGUUUCAAAGUAGAAGUAGAAGAAUUAGGUAGUGACAAAAUAUUUUGUUCAAUCCUUUGACCCCCACUAUUUUUAGAAUCAAAAGGAAACUUAUUUUCAUGAAAAAUAGCAUUACCUGAUUAUAUCACUAUAUUAUCUUCAAGAUUAAAAAAUCUAUAGGCUAUACUAUUUGAAGCAUAACCAAGAAAAACACAAGUAGUAACUUUCUUACCNNNNNNNNNNNNNNNNNNNNNNNNNNNNNNNNNNNNNNNNNNNNNNNNNNNNNNNNNNNNNNNNNNNNNNNNNNNNNNNNNNNNNNNNNNNNNNNNNNNNNNNNNNNNNNNNNNNNNNNNNNNNNNNNNNNNNNNNNNNNNNNNNNNNNNNNNNNNNNNNNNNNNNNNNNNNNNNNNNNNNNNNNNNNNNNNNNNNNNNNNNNNNNNNNNNNNNNNNNNNNNNNNNNNNNNNNNNNNNNNNNNNNNNNNNNNNNNNNNNNNNNNNNNNNNNNNNNNNNNNNNNNNNNNNNNNNNNNNNNNNNNNNNNNNNNNNNNNNNNCCUAAACUACUCAUGAUUCCAACAUAACGAUCAUUAAUAUGACACAAACGAGCAUGCCAAAAAUUGGUAGAAGAAAGCAUGUAAACAGAAGUAGAAGUUUUAUUCAUUUCAACAUUCAAUUUGAACAUCCCAUCACAUGCAUACCCCUUUCCCACAAAAAUACCCUUCUUCACUAUUACAUAUUGAUUAGACUCAAUAAUCUGUUUAAAGCCUGCUUUAUUAAGAAGAAAACUAGACAUCAAAUUUUUCCUCAUAGAAGGAGUAUAAAGUACAUCUUUCAAAGUUAAUACUUUUCCAGAAGUAAAACACAAUUCGACAUCUCCCUUUCCGCAUUUGAGAGUUGUGUGGGAAUCACCAAGCAUGAUGGUUUUGGGCUCCUCAAAAUGAGUAUAUUUUUUAAACCAGUCUUUGUCAUAACAGACAUGACGGUUUGCACCAGAAUCAGCCCACCAUCCAUCAACACUCUCAACCAUGUUUAUGUCGGUAAUCACCGCNNNNNNNNNNNNNNNNNNNNNNNNNNNNNNNNNNNNNNNNNNNNNNNNNNNNNNNNNNNNNNNNNNNNNNNNNNNNNNNNNNNNNNNNNNNNNNNNNNNNNNNNNNNNNNNNNNNNNNNNNNNNNNNNNNNNNNNNNNNNNNNNNNNNNNNNNNNNNNNNNNNNNNNNNNNNNNNNNNNNNNNNNNNNNNNNNNNNNNNNNUAUGUCGGUAAUCACCGCCACAAAAGGUUCUUCGGUAACGUUUGCCUGAGGGUUAGGACCACGUUUCCGGAAUCUGCAAAAUCGAGCAGUAUGCCCACUCUUGCCACAAACAAAGCACGGUCCUUUGUCUUGAACUUGUUGAUUUUGUGCUUGGUUAUUUUCACCAUUAUUUUUCUUGGGAGGUCUACCAUUAUUUUUCUUGAACUUUUUCUUCUUAGGCUUCAAAGAAGUAUUUUUGUGAGUUUCAGGAGUAGCAUUGUUUGAAGUAAUUAAAUUUACCUUCGUUGUGAUGUUGUUCUCUUCUGUUUGUAAAAGUGCAUCUUGGCCCCUAGCCUCUUCUUCCAUGCGGAUUUUCAUUAUCAAGGUUUCAAGGGAGGUUUCCUUUUGUUUGUGGCGCAUAGUUUUUUGAAAUUCCUUCCAAGAAGGUGGAAGUUUAUCUACUAUGCCACAAACAAUUAUGUUAUCUCCAAUUUUUACCUCCUCGGACCUUAGCUCUCCAACAAUCAUUAUAAAGUCUUGAGCUUGGUCUACCACUGAUUUGUUGUCCACCAUUUGGAAACGAAAAAAUCUACUAGCCGCAUAUUUUUUCGCUCCAGCCUCUUCGGUAUCAUACUUACUCUGCAAUGAUUUCCAAAUUUUCUUUGCACUAAAGUAAGUUAUAUCAUAAUAAUCAUAAAAAUUAUCAUAUAGACAAUUAAGAAUAUAAUACCGACACUUAUAGGAAUCACCAUCAUACUUUUCCACUUUCUCUAGAUGAGAAAUAGUUUCAUCAUCAUUCAUAGAGGUGAUGUCUACUUUAUUAGGAUCCUUCUCCGUCAACACAUAAGAAACAUUGAGAAGACUCAAGUAGAAAAGUACUUUACCCUUCCAUCGCUUAUAAUGGUUACCAUUGAACCGAAAUGGCUUGUUAAGGUCUCCCAUCUUGACAUCCGCAUUUUUUUCAAUUGUAGCCAUUUUGAAUCUCCUUAAAAUUGUUAGUGAAAACUUACAAGAUAACAAAAAUACAAGAUUACAAUUGAAAAAUAAANNNNNNNNNNNNNNNNNNNNNNNNNNNNNNNNNNNNNNNNNNNNNNNNNNNNNNNNNNNNNNNNNNNNNNNNNNNNNNNNNNNNNNNNNNNNNNNNNNNNNNNNNNNNNNNNNNNNNNNNNNNNNNNNNNNNNNNNNNNNNNNNNNNNNNNNNNNNNNNNNNNNNNNNNNNNNNNNNNNNNNNNNNNNNNNNNNNNNNNNNNNNNNNNNNNNNNNNNNNNNNNNNNNNNUACAUAUGUUACAUAGGUUACAAAGAAUAAUGAAGGAGUAAAGAAUGAGAUAAUGAGAGAGGCAACUAAUGUCAUCAAUGGCUGAAAGAAUGAGAUAAUGGAGAAAUAAUAUGGAGAAGUAAUGGUCUUGGAAGACCACGUCCAAGGCAGUAAGCAAACGGCUAGUCAGUAGCCUAGGCAAUUAAGCCUAAAAGGCAUUUACACCAAAUGUGAGUAAUUAGGCACAAAUGCCUACCAACGGUAGCAAUGAAACUGCCCACUAACUGUUGAAACAAUCAACAUCUUUCUAACUCCAAAAUAUAGCAAAUUAAUAUAUUAAAAUAUUAAUAUUAAAAUGCUAAUAAACCAACAUCAAUUAAAACUCCUUGCCUCUUUAGACUCCUUCUUCAAAUCAAACUCAUUGAUUCUUUCUCUUCAAUUCAUCAGAUGUUUAUUUCCUUGGGUUUUCUCACGAAAUUAACAUUAUCCAUUCCUUUAUUUCUGCACUCUUGUCUUUGUUCAUUCUAAAAGUUUUCUCGAAUUUAACUGCUCGUGACAGUGCACCUUUGGACCAUAUUGACUGACAUGUUUCGUCUUUCUUUGUCAAUCAUCACAACUGCAUAAAUCCCAACAAAAUAAUACGUCUAAAGUCAAAUCAAACGACAAUUACACGCUUAUUUUCUUGCUUUGUUCUUUUCUUAAGUACAUAGAGCGGCCCACCAAAAACAUAGACCGAGGCAAAGGAAAUUAUUUGUCUAAUAAAGCCAUAUGAAUUUAAUACAUACAGUAUAUCGAUAUUGUAAAAAAAUAUUAUAGUAUUAUCAUAUUGUUUUUAUUUGUCAUAGUAUGUAACCUGUAUUAUUUUGAGAUAAGGGUCUGAAAAAUAUCUCAACUUUGGUCGGAUUUGUUGUUGCGAUACUAAACUUUCAUGAGGACCUAUUACCUCCCUAAACUAUUUAAUACCGUAUUUUAAACAUAUAUAUUUGCCCAGGUGGACAUAAAAAAUAAUGCAAAAUUAUAAAUAGUAAUGUGUCCAUGUGGGCACAUAUAUACCUUUAAAAUACACUAUUAAAUAGUUCAGGGGGUAAAAAAUACGGUAUUAAAUAGUUUAGGGAGGUAAUAGGUCCUCAUGAAAGUUUAGUAUCGCAACAGCAAAUCCGACCAAAGUUAAGGUAUUUUUCAGAACAUUAUCCCUUUUCAAAUUAUAAAUUCCAUUUUUUAUGAAAUAAGUUGUUUGUAAAUAUCUUUUUGAUUAAUUUGAUUUGUCAAAGAUCAUUUAUAAGCUUUUAGAUGGACGAAAAAUUAGAAGGAAUUAGUUCUAUAUAUAACGAUGGAAAAGCAUGAAGUAGCUAAUAUGGAGUAUUGGUCUAUAACACGUUGUUUUGAUUUUCUCGUGAAUUUGACUGUCCAUUUAUUGUGUGGACUUUGUCAUAUUGUUUGAUUCUCUCAUGUUAUAUAAAUUCCAAUUACAACUUGGUCCACAAAUAAAAUAUCACUUUGAUUAUUCGAAUGAAAUAAUAGAAGAAACACAAAAUAAUGAUGAUAAAAGUUAGAUGAAGAAUUAUUAACCUUUGAUCAAGAAGAAGAUCAAAAGUUUUUUUUUUUUUUUUUUAAACUCCCUAGGAGUAUUGGUCUAUAACACGUUGUUUUGAUCUUCUCGUGAAUUUGACUGUCCAUUUUAUUGUGUGGUCUUUGUCAUAUUGUUUGAUUCUCUCAUGUUAUAUAUAUUCCAAUUACAACUUGGUCCACAAAUAAAAUAUCACUUUGAUUAGUCGAAUGAAAUAAUAGAAGAAACACAAUAAUGAUGAUAAAAGUUAGAUGAAGAAUUAUUAACCUUUGAUCAAGAAGAACACCAAAAGUUUUUUUGUUUUUUUAAACUCCCUAGGAGCUCCCACCCCUUUUGUUCCCUCGGUGACUCGAACUUGCAAUCUUUGGGUUGAAAGUGAGGGGUGCUUACCAUCCGAGCAACUCCCUCUCGUCAGAAGAAGACCAAAAGUGAAUGUACAUAUGUCAAAAAAAAAGUACACAUCUUGUAAAAUUGAGUAUAUCUUAAUCGAUGGUUAUUCAACUUUAUUUAUCAUGCAAAUGUUAUUUUUAUGUAAUAUAUUUUGGUACAUAAAAGUUAGAAUUAUAAAAAAAUAAAAAUAAAAUCUGUAAUUCGUAAAUACCAUAUAAAAGCCAUCAUAUUUAAGUUUAUCAUAUAAAAGUAAUUUUUUCUAUUUAUUGUCACAUGAAAUCAUUUUAACAUUAACUAGAAAAUAAAUUUUACCUAAAUUUUUAAAUUUACGACCAAUGGUUAAAAUCAAUUUUCAAACUUCGAAAAUCUCAAUUUUAAGUCAAAGUGAAAAAUUAACUACAAUACAUAACCAAUCAUAUUUUUUAUUUUAAAAGACCCCCCACCCCCACCCCCCAAAAAAUUAAGAAAAGAAGAAAGACACGCACACCCAAACAGGUCCAUGGUGCAACAGUUUGCAAGAAGACGCAAUAAAAUUUGCCAGGAGGACCUAGUAUAGUGAUAGUGAUACAACAAAUAAUUUAAGAGCAUAAUUGAUGUGUAGGGGACCUUUCAAUCUCAUGAAAUUAAUUCUACUUUGUAGCUUAUAGUUAAAUCUAUUUAUAUACGAGUCAUACUAUGUCAUAUUGUGGAAUUAUUUUAUAUAUGUGUCUAUUACUCUCAAUCGAUAUCUUUGAAAGAACUUUUGGAGAAUAAAAGUCUAAAAAGAUUAAUUGAAUACUACAUCAUUUACUUUGACCUUAUGGUAAAUGUAUCAAUCAAUACUUGUGUAUGCUGUCACUGUUAGAGUCGAUGUGGAUAUAAAGUUAAUCUUUUGGUUUAGUUAGGUUUAUUUAUUUAUUACUUGAAUUGUAUAUGCAUAUAACAAAUAAAAGAAUUAAAAACUCAAAUCAUGACAUGGAUUGUGAAACGUUACAUCAUGUAUUUCAUUUUACGUACCUAUUAUAUUCUUAUCAAGUAUUUUAAAUACAUUUUUGUGAGGACUUUUUAGAAAACGUCCAAAAAAAAGUCAUUAGAAUAUAUAUAGGAAAAGGGUCAUAUUUGUUCAUCAACCUUCUUCUUUCACUGUUAAGACUUCCAAGUUCCAGCAUUUCUAGGUGAAAUCUGGUUGGAGUAAAACAUAAAAUAAUAUUCACAUAAAAUGAAAGAUUAUUUUAUAUACUAAUAUUUUGUCUGAAUUUACUUUAUCACAUAAAACCAGUAUUUUACAAUGAAUACACUAUCAUCCAUACAUAUCUAGAAAUCGGACAUUGCUCAAGCAUACGGCCUAUGGGAAGCCGAGACUAAUUUUUAAUUAAUUCUAGGAAAGAAAAUCACAAUUGAAUAUCACUUAACAAAAAUGGUAAUUGAAAAAAUAACUCUUUUGAUUUGAUAAUCAAGGACCGGUUGAGAUUAUUAAAAUUAGAAUAACAAAUGCAUCCCUCGUGAUUUGUACGCUAUUACAGAGUGAAGUUGUUCUCGCCAAAAAAAUAAAGGUUACAACGAUAGCAAAUUAUUAUGAAAUUAAAAAAAAAUGUCAACAACUUUGGGUAAUGGUGAAAGAAAGAAAGAAGAAAGUUUGGUUAAUGGUACAUUCUUAUCCAAUUGGAUCUUUUGACAGAGAUUUGAUGACACACUGCUUCAAUAUUAUACAAUAUCUACAAACUUGUCUAUUUGGAUGGUUUUAGUCAUCAUUUAUAUAAUUUGAAAACUACUACUUCACGUACUAAUUUUUUAUUUUAAUCCAAAGUAAAUGACAUUUUUAAUCAUCAACAACAAGGCAUUAUUUGUUUUCUUCUAAAUUUAUUACUCAUAUUUGAGUUUUUUUUUUACGUAGCUAAAAAACUAUUAGUAUUAUUUUUAUUAAUUAAAGGAAAACUCUUGUUAAAUUGAAGUUAAAAGCACUCUUUAAUAUAUAGGGGAGGAAGUAAAGUAAAGGUUGUUGAAAUUGGUGUGAUCCAGUAAACACGAAAUGAUCUCGUGUACAAUAAAAUGAAUGAAAAUAAUGAAAAAUUAAGUUGACAUUUAAAUAAAGGCAAAAAAUAUUAAGUACUAUAAUAUAUUUUCCUUUUCUAUCUAAGUAGAGCAGCUAGGACACAAACUGGCCAACCACCUUUAAUUAAGAUUUUGUACGUGCAUUAAAAAAAAUUACUUGAUUUCUCUCCCUUUUAAAUUUUAAUUUUUCAUGUCAUGUAGCAUAAUAUCAAAUAUAUUCUAAAAUAUUUUUUACUUUAUUAAAUUUCACGUCAAAUCAAAUUGAGACGAUGAGAGUACUGGAACGAAAAUAAAUGAGGUAAAGAUAGAAACCGUAAAGUUAGAAAUCUUAAAUGUGAUUUAGUUGUUAAUGGGGCAGUCAAUUAGUGAAUAGUUCAAAAUUGGCAACCAUUGUAAAGUGUGGUUCUGCCCAUUGUUGUUGUGAAGAGGCGAGGCCACCUCUGACACAGCCCCACAGUUCAGUGACUUUCUGGGUUGCUGCUGCUGCCAUUGUUAAACAAUAUUUCAAGCUCCGAAAUCCCUAAACUAAUCAAGAAAACAAAAAAGAAAAGCGGUUGAUUCUUGACCUUUUUCCACGACAUUCUUGGAAGCUUACUAGUUUUGGAGACCAACUUGAUUCUUGACCUUUUCUUCACUGACGGCUACAACCCCAAACCCAACAUUUUUAUAUAUACUCCAAUCUUUUUCAUUCUUGGUAAAAACAGAGAAAACCCCCACUUUUUUUUUAUCUUAAAGAAAAACCAAACAGUUUUGAUAAAGAUGAAAUUUGGGAAAGAAUUUACAUCCCAAAUGGUACCUGAAUGGCAAGAAGCCUAUAUGGAUUAUAAUUAUCUAAAAGGUGUGUUGAAAGAGAUAUCUUGUUUCAAGAAGAAAAAUGCACCAUUACCUGAAGUUGCAUCCACACCAAACGGCUCAUUAAAGAGAAGGAUAUCUAUGUACAGAGCUUUUAGUGGUUUACAAAGUAGAUUCAGUUUCAAAGGUUCACCUGGUAAAACUGACAAUGAAGAUGAAGAAGUUAUUUUAGUAAGUUCACUGCAACAAGAAGGGUCACAAGGACACCAUCAAACUAUGUUUCUUAUGUCAUCUGAACAAGGUGGAGAAUAUGAGAUGGUUUUCUUUAGAAGACUUGAUGAUGAAUUCAACAAGGUGAUAGCUUUUUACAAGAAAAAAGUAGAGGAAGUGAAGGAUGAAGCUGAUAAGUUGAGUAAACAAAUGGAUGCGCUUAUUGCUGUAAGAAUUAUGGUUGAUAAACCUUCAAUUGGUAUGCCUAGUGACCAAGUGAUGAUGGAUGAUGAUACUACUUUGUCUCCAGGAUCAGUAGUUCCUACUCAUAUAAGAAGUCCAGGUUAGUCCAAUUUCUCAAAUACUGAUUCCAUGUGUGACCUAUAUGUAAUUAGUUUGGAUUUGUGUUUAACCUCAAUACAGGUGGGUCACAUAUGGAGGCAAUUCAAGAAGUUGAGAUGACUGGUGAAGAAAUACUGGAAGAGGAAUCAACAUCAGGGAAUAGAGAUAAAGAAAAGAGGAAUCUCAUGCGUUUUAGGCCUUCUCCCAUAGAGAUUUUGGACAAUGUAAAAAUCAAUAUUGAUCCUGCAACACCUAUCUCGACUUUCAAAAAUGUGAUCAGGACUUCAAAAGCAAACUCAAAAUUCAGCAAAGAUAAGCUCAAAAAAGCUGAAGAGCAAAUGAAAACGGCUUUUGUUGAGUUCUAUAAAAAUCUUAGACUUCUGAAAAGCUACCGGUAAUGGUGCAAUUUUUUUCUCCCACUUGUAGUUGUUUUGGUGUUCAAUUUAACUAACACUUUGCUAUUUAUUGUAUUAGUUUAUUAAAUGUGUUGGCGUUCUCUAAGAUCAUGAAGAAGUAUGAUAAGGUACUACACUGAAGUUAUCGAUAACUAUUUGGCAAUAGAAAGUAGAAAUUUUUAGUUUUGCCUUUUAACACUGCAAUUUACUGAUACAGACUACUUCAAGGAAAGCUUCUAAAUCAUACUCAGAUAUGCUUGAUAAAUCUGAUCUUGGUAACUCAGAUGAGGUAUAUUUCCUUCGAUUAUUCCACUUGCAACUAUAAUUUGAAGUUUGAACUUCUCAUCAAUCUUUGCUUUUCCUUAGGUUAACAAGCUCAUAGAAAGAGUGGAGGUCACAUUCGUAAAACAUUUUGUCAAUGGCAAUCGAAGGAAAGGAAUGAAACAUUUAAGACCACAAGCUAAAAGAGAAACGCACCGAGUAACAUUUUUCAUGGGUAACAAUACAUCUUUAUUAGCAUCAACACUCUCUUUCUAUGUAAUCAAAGGCCGAGGACAGAUUCUGCUGGUUCAACUGAAGCUAUUGCAUUCAGUUUGAACUAAGUAAUGCAAAAUUAAAUUUUAAAUGAAUCAUCUUCAUCCGGGAUAAGUGCUUAACAAAAGUUUGUAUACUGCAUCAUAACCAUAUGUUCGUUUUAGUAACUGAUAUACUUUUCACCUACAGGUUUGUUCUCUGGCUGCUCAAUAGCAUUAGUGGCAGCUAUUGUUGUAGCGAUACGUGCACAGCACCUUCUAGAGCAUAAGGAUCGUGAUAAGUAUAUGAAUAACAUAUUUCCACUCUAUAGGUGAACUAAACAUCUGACUUUUACAAAUUCAUAUUGAUUCCUUCCUAAUGUUUGUCUACAAGAGAAACCAUGUUUUAAGCAAUACAUAUGAGUAAUGAAGCUCUAACAUUGCAGCCUAUUUGGAUACAUUGUCCUCCAUAUGCUCAUGUAUGGGGCAAAUGUAUACUACUGGAAGCGUUUUCGGGUCAAUUAUCCCUUCAUAUUUGGCUUCAAGCAGGGAACAGAGUUAGGUUACAAACAAGUUUUCCUCCUUGCUUCUGGUCUUUCAGUUCUUGCAUUGGUUGCUUCACUCUUCCACCUGGAUAUGGAUAUGGACCCUAAAACAGGAAGCUAUGAGACAGUGAAAGAGCUGAUCCCACUUGUGUUGCUGUUUGUAAGUUUAGAAACAUUAGUUUUCCUUCUACUAUCAUUCUACAACUGAUCUAUACAAAAAAUUGAACCCCUUAAUGAUCUUAAAUCUUCUUCUUUUUUCAGGUUCUUCUUCUAAUAACUUUUUGUCCUCUGAACAUUUUAUAUCGUUCAAGUCGUUUCUUCUUUCUAAGAACUGCCUGGCACUGCCUAUGCGCUCCCCUCUAUAAGGUACCAGCAGUUUGUUUAAGAGAUAUACAGAUUCACAUACUUUAAUAUCACAGGACUAACUAGUUGCACAUCAAUUUACAGGUUACUCUACCAGAUUUCAUCUUGGCAGAUCAACUUACCAGCCAGGUUUGACACUCAGCCUUUUUCUAUAUGGGUAACUUCUACAUUAUACCAAAAUGUUGAUGAUUCAGUCAGUAUAAUGUGCAAAUUGUCCUGUGCUUAUCGCAAAAAACAACACUGUGCUCUUUAUUUCAGGUUCAAGCAAUUAGGAGUUUGCAAUUCUAUGUCUGCUACUAUGUAUGGGGCAACUUCAAAACAAGAUCAAACACAUGUCAAGAUAGCGAAGUUUAUAAGAUCUUAUACAUAGUUGUUGCAAUUAUUCCCUUUUGGUCUCGGUUUAUUCAGGUUUGAGAAUUUUUACACCGCAAAUCAUCACUCCCAUUUCCCACUAUAGAUAUCUUGACAAUUAUGUAAUAUGGUGCUUCGUAUGAUUUCAUGCUAUAUACAGUGUCUUCGUCGCUUAUUUGAAGAAAAAGAUUCGAUGCAAGGGCUUAAUAGCCUCAAAUAUUUCUCAACAAUUGUUGCUCUUGUGAUGAGGACACUUUAUUCUCAGAAGGGAGGAACCUUUUGGAGAGUAAUGGCAGCAUCAACUUCAGGAGUUACUACAGUUGCAAACACUUAUUGGGACCUUGUCAUAGAUUGGGGUUUAUUGCAAAGGAAUUCCAAAAACCCCUGGUUGAGAGACAAGCUACUUGUGCCACACAAGAUUGUCUACUUUGUUGCCAUUGUAAGUGUAGACACAGGAUUCAAAAACCAACUAUUAAAAAUACUUGCAGUGGGAUUAGGUUUUUGAUGAUUUUGAGUCUAAACGCAGGUUCUUGACAUUAUUCUGAGACUAGUAUGGAUGCAGUUGGUUCUAGAUUUUCAAGAACUACCUCAUCUGCACAAGAACGCUUUUGUUGCAAUUGUUGCCUGUUUGGAAAUCCUUCGCCGAGGCUUGUGGAACU
This 24108-nucleotide long non-coding RNA is filed under the name Solanum tuberosum (potato). RNAcentral's name for it is "long non-coding RNA (STUB_LNC003280)". Lineage: Eukaryota; Viridiplantae; Streptophyta; Magnoliopsida; Solanales; Solanaceae. The record is from RNAcentral.